Molecule: long non-coding RNA, 1163 nt
Filed under: Gallus gallus (chicken)
Lineage: Eukaryota; Metazoa; Chordata; Aves; Galliformes; Phasianidae
Description: long non-coding RNA NONGGAT002878
Source: RNAcentral
GAAUCUAGUUAUCUCCUGUGGUUUUGACUAGCAUAGAGACGUUGUGAUGGCAUUUCAUGCUAAUACCCAGCUGAUUUCCCCAGCUUCCUUUUAUCAGAGUAAGCAGAGAUGCAUUUUCCUUCCUUGGAAACUCCCUGCACGACAUUCAUUGAGAAUUCAACUUUCUGUUCUUUGUGUCCUCUUUUCAGCAGGCUGUUCCUAACAUCCUGCAGGAGGGAGAGCAGAAAAAAAAAAUGGAGUAAAUGGGGCAGAGACCUGAGGUCUUAGUGUUGCCACAUGUGGAAAUGAAGUAUGUAUAUGCAAGGUCAGGUCAAGAGAGCGUGAUUCAAGGAAGAAGGAGGUUAGCUAGAAGCAAAAUGCAGGAGAGUUACAGAAGCAAUCUCCUUCCCAUCAAAAGGAGAUGAUGGGAAGAUCCAGCUAAGGCUGCUUACCUGACUGAAGUGUUCCUCAAACACGAUACUGUCUUUGUUGGUAUGCAUGAUGGGAGAUGAAAUGGCACGUUCCAAGUCAUAACCAAACCACAGCUUGUUUAUAAUGGCCUGCAAUGAAACAAAUGGCAUGCUAACUGAAGAUAUUGAGUAAGAACCUGAACCACUUGUUGUCUUCCUCAGCACUGGUGUAAACCCUGACCAAAUCCUGCCAAUGGGAUUGUGCAAGGCUGGACUAUAAGAAGUCACUCUAGCCUAAGCAUCCUUUCACGGCAGCCAACAGGAGAUGUCCAGAGCAAAACAGGGUUGAGAAUGCUCACCGGCGCGAAUACUACUCUUUCCUGUGCAGAAAUCAGCAAGUUCAUUAUUCAAAAUGAUCCCAGUCUGGUUGGAAUAAACGAAGGAGCCAAACCUGCAGGGAGGAAGAAAACAUCCUUUAAGUAACCAGUGCUCUUCCACUGUGGAUGAUAUUAGCUUUAAUGUAGGACUCUGCUGGGUCACCCCUGCCUUCUGCCAACCUGCAGCCACUCCAGAAGAGGUUCCCAAAAGGUUUUUACUUUGCUGUGCUGGAGUCAGAAAUAAGCUUUCUGUAACAAGUGCAUGUGGGGAUUUGCUCAACCCACAGAACUUCAGCAGAGCUCUGGUAGUUAUUACAUGUUUGUGAACUGUGGUGUUCCUCUGGGCUGAUUCUCAAAGGCUAUCACAUGAAAAAAAGCCUUCACAAGAGGCUAAAUC